RNAcentral lists this ribosomal RNA (277 nucleotides) under uncultured archaeon. Its description in RNAcentral is "partial 16S ribosomal RNA". It matches the Rfam family "Archaeal small subunit ribosomal RNA", at positions 583 to 859 of the family's 1478-position model. The record is from RNAcentral.
ACUGNCNAUCUUGGAACCGGGAGAGGUAAGACGUACUUCGGGGGUAGGAGUGAAAUCUUGUAAUCCCNGAGGGACCACCGAUGGCGAAGGCAUCUUACCAGAACGGCUUCGACAGUGAGGGACGAAAGCUGGGGGANCAAACCGGAUUAGAUACCCGGGUAGUCCCAGCCGUAAACGAUGUUCGUUAGGUGUNUNAGNUACCACGACUCUNUNAGGUGCCGAAGGGAAACCGUGAAACGCACCNCCUGGGAAGUACGGUCGCAAGGCUGAAACUUAA